CUGCGAGGUGGUAUUUAAGUAUCUCGCGGUAGGCCUUCGGUCCCAUUUUUCCAAGGAGUUCGGUAAGUGUGUUGUAUGUUUGCGUUAUUUUUUAAAUCAAGUGAGCGAAGCACGCUUGAGCGUGUUAGGCUGGGUUUACUGGUUGGCGCGGGAGGGUUAAGAUCUUGGCCAUGGCCUUGAAUUCGCGGAGCCGCCGCCGAGCUUUGUAAAGGACAAAAAUGGCGACGCUGGGCCGUGGCGGCGGCCCUCUCUGUGAUGAGAACCUUUUCACAGACCUGUACUGAGCUCCGUGAGGAUAAGACUCUCUGAGGAGACGGGCCUUGCCCAGCCCAGGCCCAGCACAGUCGCAGCUCCGGAAGACCAAGCGAACGUGAAGUCACGGGUGUUGAUUUAAUGUCCCUUUGUCUGCAGGGUUCGGGCGCACCUUUGAACGCUGGAGAAUGGAGAAGAGCCGACUUGCGUGGAUGCGGUUCGGCUCUAAAGACCUUAGAGGUUUGAGAGCGAGACAAGGCCUGUCCCCUGAUCCCUGCAAACUAGGCCUCACUGUGAUGCUCCAGGUGGGUAUGAGGCGAUUUCUGCAGGUGUGGGUGGGCAUGGGGUCUGGUGGGGUUUGCUGUCGUCCAAAUUGUGCUGACCACUCAAUGAUGAACAUAAAAAAGACAAGCAUAUGGCUGAAUUUAAAGUGAUGUCAUCUUCCUGCUGAGAAGUGGGCCGGGAGUACUCCAGGGUCUGUGAGCGACUCUUCUUGGGUACAUCAUCAUGCCUUUCUUUUCUGCUCUAGCAUCUCAUCACUAGGCCUGAGGAACCCAACGGUCGGCCUGGGUGAAUACAGGUAAUUAAACUGUUCAAAUGGGGGAUUGGAGUGUCCUCUCCAGUUAUGCCUACAACCAGGAGAGCAAAUGGCCAGUGGAGCCGUGUUGCCUUUCUGCUCCUUCCUUGUUCUUCUUGGAAUGAUUUUGCCAUGGAGGGAGAGCAGCCCAACAGUACAGUUCUUGGGAGGUGUGCUCUCCCUCACCCAUGUCACUGUCAGAUGAUUUGAAUAGAUGUGCUGAUCCUCUGUGAGGUGCGACAAUUAAUAGCAUGUUAGAGUUCUGAUGGCAGUUUUUGUUAACGAAGAAACUUUGUUCCACUUUGUAUUUUUAGGUAAUCGUUUGUUCCCCUUUUGCAGGUUGUCCUGAAGGUGAUACAUUCAUCUGUUCUACAGUAAGUAGCUUCCGAGAGUACUGGGAUAAAUAAGCAUAUAUGUAAAAUCAGUAUCCAAAGGAUGGCUUUUAUCAUCGUGGCUGUUUUUGUUGUGACCAGAUACUUGUUUUUAUUUUAUGUAGACUCCAUUCCCAACGUGAGGCUCGAGCUCAAGAGUCCCAUGUUGCACAGACUGAGCCAGCCAGGGGUCCCUUGAUCUAUUUCCUCUAGAUGUUCAUUCAAGAUUCUGCCCAGCAUUGAACUCCUGGCAGGUGUUAAGGAUGGUGAGUACUUGUAACCUGAGUGGUUGUGGCUUGGCAGAGAAUGUGCCAGUGAGGAGAGCAAGCAUCCUGUCUUACCCCUGUCAUAGCCCCAGAGCCAGUAAUGGUGAACCCACUGGGGCUAACGGGGAGAGAGGAUGAGAAUUUGUUCCAUAAGGAACUGUCUGAGGUACAGCAUAUGCCUGUCAGUAGCAUUUUCUUAGCUUAAAUCUGUUGACCAUCGCUAGGAUGACUUGGCUGUUUUAGAUCCUUUACUAAUUCUGUAAUUUUCUCAUUCAGAAGCAGCUUGUUCCUGUGUGUUCCCCCAAAGCCUCCAGAGUUAACAGGUCAGUCGAUUAAUGUCUGUGGUUCAUGCCCCCAGAUAGGCAGUUUCUGUGAUGAAUCAAACUAGCUCACUAUGACUUACACAAUGAAAAUAAGUGAACACCUGAGAAACUGGUGAAGGCAGGAGCAGAGGGAUGCUAUGUGGAAGGGCUUUUUAUACACCUACACUUUUGUCUUUUUCUAGGUGCUGUUACCCAUAACCUGCUUGCUUGUUCAAAGGUGAGUUGUUUAUGUAUGUGGUACGUGGAGCAUAUCAGGUAGAAAAAAUAGCCUUUUGAGGGCUUAAAUGCAUGAUGACUUACAUGGAAUCUCGUUCGGCUGAUGACUUGCUGUUGAGACUCGGAAGUCUGAUUCUCCUAGGAAUGGUAAUUUUAAGUGGGAACAAUUUUUGUUGGAAGUAAGCAUUACUGACUCUGGUCUUAACUGUUUCAGGUCCAGUGCCUUUUGUGGAGCCCAAGAGUGACUUGAGGUAAAUGCCUUUGUAACAUUGUUUUUCAGCUGCUGUAUAAAAUUUGCCAGGUGUUUGUGGUGUGUGUGGGUGUUGGGUGGCAUUUUUCUUGGGUAGCUGUAAGAAGACCAGACUGGCUUACUGCAGAGUCUAGUCUCUUGUCUGUGGCCAUUCUGAACCACCUGCGCAACAAGCUCCCCCUCACCAGUGAUGAAUUCAAUACCGCCCCAGUCUGAUCACUGUGACUGAAAGGUAUUUUCUGAGCUGUGAGCUUGUCUUAGAAUGAAGUGACAGCAGUGGAACGUUUUAUCAAGUGACGUUCAAGCCAGUAGGAAGUUCAUGGACUACCUGGUGGUUACUGUAAAAUAUGCAUGCUGAAACUCAAAAAGCCUUUACAGAUACGCCUUUGCUCUAAGCAGCAGAGACCCCUAGGGGUGAUUAAGAGGCUUAGUUCUCAAUUAUUCUUUUGCAGGAACCCUGAGCCAUUUUUCUGCUGGACUCCAGUCGAAGUCAGAGGUGAGUAAAUCUAGGUGCGGGGUGGCCCAAACUAGAACUUCCCGGUGAAGAAAGAGUCACAUGUCCUACCUCCUGUCCUAGUCCCAGAGCCUGUAAAGGUGAACCCACUGGGGCUGGCUGGGGGAAAAGAGGAAACUUGUUCCAGAAGGAACUGUCUGAGGGAUCACAAGGGGUUUCUAAAUAUGGGAAAGAGUGAUAAAUCUCUUGUUGAAGUUGAAUGUAUUUGUUUUCCAGGUCUGAAGAAAGAACAAGGCCUGUAUCCUAGGUUAGUGUCUAUUUAAAUACUGGUGUUUAGAAUUUAAUAGAGAAAGAUAAGCAGAAAAGGUAUGCCUGGAGGAAGGUUUUUUUAAGGCGAACUAGUUUAAAGGGUAGGGUGAACAUAUUACAUUAUUACCUAGAAAGAAAAUUUCACUUUUUUUUUUUUUCUUCCUUCCCCCUCUAUAGGAAUCCAGUUCUUCAGGGAUAUCAAAAGGAAGUUUUCAGGUCAUUUUUUGUACAACCUAGUAGAAGUGAGCAUACAGUUGUUUAAACCUCUCUAAAUAAAAGUUUAAACUUUAUUGUUGUUCA
This 3318-nucleotide long non-coding RNA is filed under the name Neogale vison (American mink). The record is from RNAcentral. Lineage: Eukaryota; Metazoa; Chordata; Mammalia; Carnivora; Mustelidae.